Molecule: ribosomal RNA, 558 nt
Filed under: Amemboa sexualis
Lineage: Eukaryota; Metazoa; Arthropoda; Insecta; Hemiptera; Gerridae
Description: eukaryotic LSU rRNA
Rfam family: Eukaryotic large subunit ribosomal RNA
Source: RNAcentral
CCCGUCUUGAAACACGGACCAAGGAGUCCAACGUGUGCGCGAGUCGUUGGGCGUUAAAACCCAAAGGCGCAAUUAAGGUGAAGGGAAGCUUGUCUUCCCUAGGGAGGAGGGGGGCACCGACCCUCACGGGCGGACUCCCCGCACUCCCGCGGCGUCUCAGGCUCAUCGCGAGCCGAGGCGGACCUAGAGCGUUCACGUUGGGACCCGAAAGAUGGUGAACUAUGCCUGGCCAGGACGAAGCCAGGGGAAACCCUGGUGGAGGUCCGUAGCGGUUCUGACGUGCAAAUCGAUCGUCGGAGCUGGGUAUAGGGGCGAAAGACUAAUCGAACCAUCUAGUAGCUGGUUCCCUCCGAAGUUUCCCUCAGGAUAGCUGGCGCCCAGGUUGAGACGAGUCUCAUCUGGUAAAGCGAAUGAUUAGAGGCAUUGGGGUCGAAACGACCUCAACCUAUUCUCAAACUUUAAAUGGAUGAGAACCCCGGCUUGCUUGAUCGAGUGAAGCUGGGGCUCGGAUCCGGGUGCCAAGUGGGCCAAUUUUGGUAAGCAGAACUGGCGCUGUGG